This 5645-nucleotide long non-coding RNA is filed under the name Malus domestica (apple). Its description in RNAcentral is "long non-coding RNA (MDOM_LNC003450)". The record is from RNAcentral. Lineage: Eukaryota; Viridiplantae; Streptophyta; Magnoliopsida; Rosales; Rosaceae.
UUGUGAAAUAACUUCGAUGAGAAGAAAAAAGAAGGCAUUAGGAGACCCUCCUGGCCCAACCCUAUGUUAGUAUGUAAGUUGUUGUACUGAUUAGUAAACAUUACAAGAUUGUUAUGUGUGUCAUGUCUCAGCUCAUAGGCUGAGCUAUUGUGUAAAAUUGUGAUGUGUUGAUUAAGUCUCAUAGGGCUUAUCAUUUGACAAGUGUCUUGAUCUUAAGAUAGGUUGUGAUGGUUGGUUGAGAUUGAAUUGAGGUUAUGAUUCUCUCUCUCUCAUCUUUGUCAUCAGAUAUAUGUCUCUUCGGGUUGUUAUGCCCAUAAUGCAAUACAAUGAUAGAAGUUGAAAGGCUAUGCUCUGUGUGUGCUCUCUCUCUCUGAUUUCAUCUUCUAAAUCUUACAAUCUUUCUCUCAAAUCCUGUUAGACUUAGUUAUAUUAGUUGUAUUGCUGGAUUCCAACAUGGUAUCAGAGCCGAGUUCGAUCUAGAUUUCUGGGCGUUGUUUCUACGAGUGGGUCUCGGAUUCACAGCAAAAGCUUAUUGCGGUGAUUCGAGUAUCUAAUAUGGCAGGAUCUGGAGGAGGAGAACUCCGGGCACCAAUUUUCAAUGGUGAGAAUUUUGAUUUCUGGCAAAUCAAAAUGAAGACCAUCUUUCGCUCGUAUGAACUGUGGAAUAUGGUUGAGAGUGGGUACAGAGCUCCGGCGAAGGAAGAGGAACUCACAGAGGCGGAGAGGAAGCUGCUGCGUGAGAAUGUAGUUAAGGAUGCUCGAGCACUGGGUAUUAUUCAAGGUGCAGUUUCAGACCAAAUUUUCCCGAGGAUUGCAACUCAGGAAAGUGCGAAGGCUGCGUGGGACAUUCUGAAACAAGAGUUCGUUGGUGAUAAACAAGUAAGAUCUGUGAAACUUCAAGGUCUUAGGCGAGAUUUUGAAUAUACUCGCAUGAAUGAUAGUGAAUCUCUUUCUGUGUAUAUUGCUAAGUUGUUUGAUCUGAUUAAUCAAAUGAAGAGUUAUGGUGAAGAUCUAAGUAAUCAAAGAGUUGUUCAGAAAUUGUUAAUCAGUUUACCUAAGUCCUAUGAUAGUAUUGCAGCAGUGAUAGAGAAUACUAAGGAUUUAGACACCAUAGAUGCACAGGAUGUUGUAGCUAUCUUGAAAGGUUAUGAACAACGGUUGGAUAGACAUGGAGAGAGUAGUAUGGAGAAAGCAUUUGCUAGUUUGAAGUUUGUCCCGAGGUCAAAUAAGUUCAAUGGUCAGCCAAACAGUAACAAAUAUCACAAGAAUUUUAAGCCAAAAGAGAAACAAUGGAGUAACAAGGGUGAUUGGAGCAAUAAGGGUGGAUUCACUGUGAAAAAUGAGGCAAACAAUACUGGAGAUAAGUGCAAGUUUUGUGAUAAACUUCACUAUGGAGAGUGUUGGGUUAAAAACAAAGUUAAGUGUCACAAGUGUAACAAAAUUGGGCAUAUUGCAAGGUAUUGUAAUAUGAACAAGACUGUGCAGCAUGUGAACUUUGCUAAUCAGGUUGAAGAAACUGGAAACUUGUUUUAUGCAAAUCAUUCUGUAGAAGUAAGGAAGAUAAGUGAUGAAUGGUAUAUAGAUAGUGGAUGUAGUAAUCAUAUGACAUCCAGAGAAGAUCUACUUGUUGAUAUUGACAGGAAAGUGAAAGCAAAAGUCCAAGUUGGCACUGGAGUUUUGGUUGAAGUUGAAGGGAAGGGAACACUGAUCAUUGAAACUGUAAAAGGUCGAAGAUAUAUAAAAGAAGUUAUGCUUGUACCUGGUCUUACAGAAAAUUUGUUAAGUGUGGGACAAAUGACUGAGCAUGGUUAUUUUCUGUUAUUUGGAGAUUAUAAAGUGGAUGUGUUCGAUGAUAGAUCCUUACAAAACCUGGUGGUCAGUGUGAAACAGAGAGGAAAUAGAUGUUUUCCCUUAAUCCUCAACACAAACAAGGAGCUUGCAUUGAGGACAAAUGUGCAGGAGUGUGUUAGAAUUUGGCACAAGAGGUUCGGUCAUCUAAAUUUCAGAAGUCUCAAACUGUUACAGAGUCAAGAAAUGGUUUUGGGGCUGCCUGAAAUCCAAGACAGUGAAACUGUAUGUCAAAGUUGUGCACUGGGGAAAAAUCACAGGGAACCAUUUCCCAAAGAAUCAAUGUGGAGAGCAAAGGAACCUCUUGAACUAAUACACUCGGAUGUGUGUGGUCCUAUGCAAACAUCAAGUUUGAGUGGCAAUCGAUAUUUCAUUACUUUCAUAGAUGAUUUUUCAAGAAUGUGCUGGGUAUAUUUCUUGAGAAACAAAUCAGAGGCCUUCUAUGUGUUUAAGAAAUUUAAAGCCAUGGUUGAGCUUCAAAGUGGAUAUCAUGUAAAGAAGCUAAGGACAGAUAGGGGAGGUGAGUUCAACUCAAAUGAGUUUGGAAAAUUUUGUGAAGAUUUGGGGAUAGAAAGACAGCUCACAAUUGCAUACUCUCCACAGCAGAAUGGAGUAGCAGAAAGGAAAAACAGGACGAUUGUGGAGAUGGCAAAGUGCAUGAUCUUUGAGAAAGGACUUCCAAACAAUCUCUGGUGUGAAGCAGUAAACACAUAUGUGUAUUUGCUUAACAGGAGUCCUACAAAAGCAGUGAAGAAUACUACACCUUUUGAGAAAUUCAGUGGAAGAAAACCUGGGGUUAAACAUUUGAAGGUGUUUGGUUCAGUUUGCUAUUCUCUUAUUCCAGGGAAUCUAAGACACAAAUUAGAAGAAACAAGUGUCAUGGGUGUUUUCAUUGGAUAUGGAACCUGUGAAAAGGGGUAUAGAGUACUGAAUCCCUUAACUCAAAAGGUCUUGUUGUCUAGAGAUGUAAUUUUUGAUGAACAUGGUAGAUGGGACUGGGAGAAACACAAAGUCAAGGAAGUCUGUAUUCCUUUAUCUGCAAUUGAGUCUUCAGAGGUGGAUAAAAUUGAUGAGAUGUCUGAAUCUCAUGAACAAGAAGGAUCUGAUGGGUCUCAAAUUCAAGCUGGAAGUUCUACAGUUACUGCUAUUGGUGAAUCAAGUAGUUCACGGGUCUCUGCUCAGUAUGAUGAUACUCCACUGAGGUAUAGGAAUUUGAGUGAGAUCUAUGAGAGAUGUCACUUAUGUAUUGUUGAACCUGAAUCCUUUGAUGAAGCUGCACAGGAUGAAGCUUGGAAAAAGGCAAUGAAGGAUGAAAUGAAUAUGAUUGAAAAAAAUCAGACAUGGGAGUUGGUGAGAAGACCCUCAAAUAAGCCUGUGAUUGGAGUGAAAUGGGUGUAUAAAACAAAGCUGAAUUUGGAUGGAACAGUUCAAAAGAACAAGGCUAGACUUGUUGCAAAAGGCUAUGCACAAAAGCCUGGAAUUGAUUUUAAUGAGACUUUUGCACCUGUUGCAAGAUUAGACACAGUUAGAACUCUAAUUGCACUGGCAGCAAAGAAUAAAUGGAAGUUAUUUCAACUAGAUGUGAAAUCAGCUUUUCUGAAUGGAGUAUUAGAAGAGGAAGUAUAUGUUGAACAGCCAGAUGGGUUUGUAGUGCAAGGAGAGGAAGAAAAGGUUUACAGAUUACAUAAAGCUUUGUAUGGUCUAAAACAGGCACCUAGGGCCUGGUAUGGUGAAAUAGACUCAUAUCUUAUGCUUUGUGGAUUUAAGAAAAGUAUCAGUGAGGCAACUCUGUACACCAAAUACAAGGGAGACACAGAAUUGAUCAUAGUAUCCAUCUAUGUUGAUGAUAUUAUAUAUACUGGAAAUUGUCAAGAGUUAAUGGAUGUUUUCAAAGCUGAGAUGAUGUCUAAGUAUGAGAUGACUGAUCUUGGUCUCUUACACCAUUUCCUUGGUAUGGGGGUAAUCCAAACUGAGGAGUGUAUCUUCAUUCAUCAGAGAAAUUAUGCCUUAUCUCUUCUGAAGAAGUUCGGACUACAGAAUUGCAAAUCAGUGAGUACUCCUUUGGUUCCAAGUGACAAACUGAGAAGAGAAGAUGGAAGUGGAAAUGCAGAUGAAGCUCAGUAUAGACAGAUUGUAGGUAGUCUGCUGUAUCUCACAGCAACUAGACCUGAUAUAAUGUAUGCUGCUUGUCUCUUAGCUCGGUUUAUGCAUUGUCCCACUAACAAGCACUAUGGAACAGCAAAGAGAGUAUUGAGAUAUGUUCAAGGAACCCUUGAUUUUGGUUUGGAAUAUAAGAAAGGUGAAGGAACACUCUUAAUGGGAUACUGUGAUAGUGACUGGAGUGGUUCAGAGGAUGACAUGAAAAGCACAUCCGGGUAUGCUUUUACUUUUGGAAAUGGGAUUUUCUCUUGGUCUUCAGUCAAGCAACAAUGUGUUGCAUUAUCCACAGCCGAAGCAGAGUAUAUCAGUGCUUCUGAAGCAACAGCACAUGCUACUUGGUUGAGAUUUGUCCUAGAGGAUUUUGGUGAAAUGCAAACGGUUGCAACACCAAUGAAUUGUGACAAUACAUCUGCCAUAGCCAUUACCAAGAAUCCCAUCUUUCAUCAGAAGACCAAGCAUAUAAACCGAAGAUAUCACUUCAUAAAGGAAGCAUUACAGCAAGGAGUAAUUGAUUUGAUUCACUGUCCUACAAAGGAGCAACUGGCAGAUAUCUUUACAAAAGCAUUGGCAAGGGAGCAGUUCACUUACUUGAGAAAUCUACUUGGAGUGAAAUCAGUUCACAACUUAAAGGAGAGUGUUAGUAUGUAAGUUGUUGUACUGAUUAGUAAACAUUACAAGAUUGUUAUGUGUCAUGUCUCAGCUCAUAGGCUGAGCUAUUGUGUAAAAUUGUGAUGUGUUGAUUAAGUCUCAUAGGGCUUAUCAUUUGACAAGUGUCUUGAUCUUAAGAUAGGUUGUGAUGGUUGGUUGAGAUUGAAUUGAGGUUAUGAUUCUCUCUCUCUCAUCUUUGUCAUCAGAUAUAUGUCUCUUCGGGUUGUUAUGCCCAUAAUGCAAUACAAUGAUAGAAGUUGAAAGGCUAUGCUCUGUGUGUGCUCUCUCUCUCUGAUUUCAUCUUCUAAAUCUUACAAUCUUUCUCUCAAAUCCUGUUAGACUUAGUUAUAUUAGUUGUAUUGCUGGAUUCCAACACCCUAGACACUCUAAGAUCCUUUUUCAAACCUGCUCCCACUUUGAGUCAUCCGAUCGUUGUCACAUUGUGUUGCCAAUAAAUAUGUUACUGACAACAAUGAAAAGGGUGAAUUCACAUCAUUCACGGUUUGCAAGCUCUAAUGAAGCUAGCAAUAAAUUAGAACCCACCCAGUGAACCUAAGCAUAGUGAAAUCAACACAUUGAUCUCUUUGCAAGAAAUUUUAACUUUUACACACUUUUAGUAGCAAACCAUAAACAACUCUUUUUAACAACGAUAUUUUUGGCCACAAAGAAUUAGUGGGAUUGGUUCACUUCCCGACUUUGAGAUCAGUUCUUGAUGAGUUGAAAAUUUUAAGUGUCACCGCCACUUGGUAUUACCAUCCACGCAUUAGUUACAAGAAUGAAAAGGGCGGACUUGCAUCUAAUCCAAGUCCAAGUGUUACUUACAACAAUGAAAAGGGUGAACUCGCAUUGUGUGCGAAUUGGACGCUCCAAUGAAGCUGAACGAAUAGGAACACCAGUUCUGAAAAACCUCUUGCCUUUCAUCUCCCCCGCAACCCAAACACCAAACCCUACCUAAAGCUCCUCCAACCACCGGCCUCUUGUUACGGCUU